UUUUGGCUGGUGUCAGAUCUCUGUCAUGUGGCAGUCAUGCAACAGUCUUCACUGGCUUUGAGGGACCAGACUGCCAAGUUUCUGUUGGAGCGGCAUCAAAAGGCUCAUCACUGAGUCAUAACUUUGGAGACAAACAAUGACGACAAUGGUUAGGAUGAUGACAAAUGCAAUCUUAGAUGUUCUCACUGGAAAGGACAUUACAAAGCUACUAGAAAUCUGUUUCAGAGACAGACACAGACAGAGUAGUGGGCUGCCCAAUUUCAUGUAACGAAGCCUUGUGAUUUUUAUACCCAGGGUAAUUCAUGGACGUACUACAAGCUAAAUUUGAUCAAAGUACAGUGUGUCCUGUGUCUGCCAUCAUCCAAAAAAUGUUUUUCAUAUAAAAGAAUUAGAUCGUUCUUGCUUUAAAUCUAGUCUAAAUGAUGGCUGUCUAAGGGCCUCAGAAGCUGGAGAACACACAACAAAGGGUCAGAGGAAUAUCCACCAAAGCCUCAGUUUGGGCUUCUAGCGCUAGUCAAAGCAAUAUCUGGAAACACUUUUUAUCCUGCAACAACAAAAACACACAGUAUCCCAGAUUUCAGGCCCAGCAUAGCUGCAUCAAACCACACUGCCCGCUAUGGUCGGGCCUUAGAAAAGAGGCUUAUACAGAAAUCCAGCUAGGGCUAAACGCAUUAGCCUACAGGCUAAAUAGCAUGACAGCACAACUAACAGACUGAGCCCAACCUUGGUCAGACGGCAGGUCUUGUGAGGUCAUUCCCAAAUACCGCUAACACUACCUCUUCAUCCCGAUUAUCUUCGAGCAUGAAAGCAGUUUUGUGGCUGUAGGUGGAUGAAGGAGGAGGUUUCUCAGAAGAGAAAUGCUCAAAAAUGUUCUGUUUCAGUCUUGAGUAAAUGUUAUGAUAAUUUCAUUUGCGUGAGUAAUUGUGUCUGGUCUUGCAGACUGUUUUUGGCUCUGGAGUACAGAGCGGGAGAACAAGAGGAUCAGGAGGCACGCCUAUUGUUUUUUGGAUCAAUUUGAAAGGAACUUGAGGAGUAGUGAAAGAUACCAUUUGCCCUUUGCCUUCACACCCUGCAUGUUUUAAGGAGAGGCAUUGACUCUGGACAAAGGGAUCCACAGCUCUGUCCUCCUUUCUCCUGGAGCACAGUGUUCAAAGGAAGACGUCUGUCAGAGCAUGAUGGCGUUUAUAUAUUCUCUUUAAAACAUUACGACAUAAGUUGUAGAAGAUUAAAUAGUUUUUUAAACCAUAUGACAACCAGAAGGGCAUGUUUAACGCAAGUAACAAUUACUGCCUCUGAGAGUACAACAACUUUUGGCAUUCAAAUAAUAAUAAAUAAAUUAAAAAAACGUUUGGACACAUGAUUCAUUAUUGCAAUGCUGUAGCAUUCCAAAGGCAAAAACAACAAGCUGGAGGCAUGGGAAUUGGAUCCGCAACAAGUUAUCUUUCUUGUGCAACCCAGCCUGCCUGUACAUACAUGUCUGUGUGCAAUAGUAUGCUUUGAUUACUUAGAGGAGCUAUAGGCCUCCAGUCAGGCAGAAGGGCCUGUGGAGUGGGCUGUACUCCGGGGCUUUAGACAAACCAACAGUAAGCAGGAAAUUUAGGAAAUCAGCAGAGCAGAGGGACAAUGACAACGAGAUUAGAGAUCAGUUAACCCCCUCCUCUGGGUGACUGAGCUGUUUGUUCACUGACUGUGACUUCCUUUUAGACACAAGCACGCAAUCUAUGAAACACACGCACACACACUCUGAAACACAACCUGUUGCACACUCACUAACCUAUUCAAACUCAGCCUCUCUCACACAUCCCCUCUCUCAAACACAUUCACCUCUUGAAAUGAGUAGUGCACCUCUGGAUGUUUUCCCACAUUGCAGUCUUUUUCAAUAUAACAGGAGUUAAAGCAGUAGCUCCCGCUUUACGCCCACUGUCUCGCAGGUAAUGGGUGCAGCCAACCAACCAGCAGGACUUAGUUUAACACUUGUGACUAAAAAGCCAACUUACAUCACUACCUGGAUGAUGUCAUCUGAUGGCUGGCAACCAUUCUUGUGGUGGAUGACUGCAAAUAUGAACUAAACCUUUAAGGAAAAGAAACUGACAAAAAGGCUGCACCUGAAAGCCUUAUUGCUCUUGUACUCUGACCUCACCUGGCUUAUCUCCUUGGCAAAAGAAGACUUUCACCAGCGACACACCUGGAGAGGUCUACAAUGCAAGAGGGACUUUACACUUGGAAGGAUUAGCAUUGCAAAGAUUUAAAAAAAAAAAAAAAAGGAUCAGAUGUCCAAGAACUGUAAACCCUCAUCUAAGCAGCAGCAUAGACAAAGUCUUCCCUGGAACAGUUGAACAAGCCCCAUCAUGUCAAAGAUCAGUUUGUGAGGGUGUGCAGGUAGACGCUGCCUAGUUUCCUAACAGAGACGUGUGUGCAUGUGUGGGAUUCAAAUAUCCUGGAUUUGCUCAGCAAGACAGAUGUCAGUAUGCUUUUGAGCUUCACCACUUCCUAAGGAAUUUUUGUCAAACAAAGGAGGACAUACAAAAAAGGCCACAAAGACUUUUGGGGAUAUAUAAAAACAUUUAAGUCUAUUUCAAACA
Larimichthys crocea (large yellow croaker) is the source of this 2582-nucleotide long non-coding RNA. RefSeq lists it as uncharacterized. The transcript is spliced from 3 exons. Lineage: Eukaryota; Metazoa; Chordata; Actinopteri; Sciaenidae. The record is from RefSeq and is a predicted model, not a curated record.